This 389-nucleotide small RNA is filed under the name Pan troglodytes (chimpanzee). RNAcentral's name for it is "retained intron". Lineage: Eukaryota; Metazoa; Chordata; Mammalia; Primates; Hominidae. The record is from RNAcentral.
UUUAAAUUCUAGAUAUUUACUGUUUCUCUUAGCAGUGUGAGGUUAAUGAUGUUAUACCUAAAAUUUUUUGAUCUCUAACAGUGCUGCUGAUACUACUUUUUGUUUUUUAAAGGAACUUUGUGCUUUAAUGUUUUCCCUGGAUUGGAUUAAAGCAAAAACAGAACUUGUAGGCCCUGCUCAUCUGAUUCAUGAAUUUGUGGAAUACAGACAUAUACUAGAUGAAAAGGAUUGUGCAGUCAGUGAGAAUUUUCAGGAGUUUUUAUCUUUAAAUGGACACCUUCUUGGACGACAGCCAUUUCCUAAUAUUGUACAACUGGGUCUCUGUGAGCCGGAAACUUCAGAAGUUUAUCAGCAAGCUAAGCUGCAGGCCAAGCAGGAGGUCGAUAAUG